UACAAACGCUGGCGGCGUGCCUAAUACAUGCAAGUCGAACGGGGAAAGCUUUCGGGUGAGUACUAGUAGCGCACGGGUGAGUAAUACGUAGAUAAUCUGCCUUCGAGUUGGGGAUAACUAGUCGAAAGAUUAGCUAAUACCGAAUAAGACCACAAGAACUGAGGUUCUAGGGGUUAAAGGUUUUUCGCUUGAAGAUGAGUCUGCGCGAGAUUAGCUAGUUGGUGUGGUAACGGCUCACCAAGGCAACGAUCUCUAACUGGUCUGAGAGGAUGAUCAGUCACACUGGAACUGAGACACGGUCCAGACUCCUACGGGAGGCAGCAGUAGGGAAUAUUGCACAAUGGGGGAAACCCUGAUGCAGCGACGCCGCGUGAGUGAUGAAGGCCUUCGGGUCGUAAAGCUCUGUCGCAAGGGAAUAAUAAACUGAAUGUACCUUGCAAGAAAGGAUCGGCUAACUGCGUGCCAGCCGCCGCCGUAA
Molecule: ribosomal RNA, 478 nt
Filed under: uncultured bacterium
Lineage: Bacteria
Description: partial 16S ribosomal RNA
Rfam family: Bacterial small subunit ribosomal RNA
Source: RNAcentral